RNAcentral lists this ribosomal RNA (404 nucleotides) under bacterium. Its description in RNAcentral is "partial 16S ribosomal RNA". It matches the Rfam family "Bacterial small subunit ribosomal RNA", at positions 355 to 776 of the family's 1533-position model. The record is from RNAcentral.
UGGGGAAUAUUGGACAAUGGGCGCAAGCCUGAUCCAGCCAUGCCGCGUGGGUGAUGAAGGCCCUAGGGUUGUAAAGCCUUUUCAGCGGGGAAGAUAAUGACGGUACCCGCAGAAGAAGCCCCGGCUAACUUCGUGCCAGCAGCCGCGGUAAUACGAAGGGGGCUAGCGUUGCUCGGAAUUACUGGGCGUAAAGCGCACGUAGGCGGCUUUCUAAGUCGGGGGUGAAAUCCUGGAGCUCAACUCCAGAACUGCCUUCGAUACUGGAAAGCUAGAGUCCGGGAGAGGUGAGUGGAACUGCGAGUGUAGAGGUGAAAUUCGUAGAGAUUCGCAAGAACACCAGUGGCGAAGGCGGCUCACUGGCCCGGUACUGACGCUGAGGUGCGAAAGCGUGGGGAGCAAACAGG